RNAcentral lists this ribosomal RNA (435 nucleotides) under uncultured bacterium. RNAcentral's name for it is "bacterial SSU rRNA". It matches the Rfam family "Bacterial small subunit ribosomal RNA", at positions 956 to 1392 of the family's 1533-position model. The record is from RNAcentral.
UGAACGCGAAGAACCUUACCAAGUCUUGACAUCCUUCUGACCGGUACUUAACCGUACCUUCUCUUUGGAGCAGGAGUGACAGGUGGUGCAUGGUUGUCGUCAGCUCGUGUCGUGAGAUGUUGGGUUAAGUCCCGCAACGAGCGCAACCCUUAUCUUUAGUAGCCAGCGGUCUGGCCGGGCACUCUAGAGAGACUGCCAGGGAUAACCUGGGGGAAGGCGGGGAUGACGUCAAAUCAUCAUGCCCCUUAUGACUUGGCUACACACGUGCUACAAUGGCGUAAACAAAGGGAAGCAAAGCUGUGAAGCCGAGCAAAUCUCAAAAAUAACGUCUCAGUUCGGACUGUAGUCUGCAACCCGACUACACGAAGCUGGAAUCGCUAGUAAUCGCAGAUCAGAAUGCUGCGGUGAAUACGUUCCCGGGUCUUGUACACACCG